RNAcentral lists this ribosomal RNA (409 nucleotides) under uncultured bacterium. Its description in RNAcentral is "bacterial SSU rRNA". It matches the Rfam family "Bacterial small subunit ribosomal RNA", at positions 355 to 776 of the family's 1533-position model. The record is from RNAcentral.
UGGGGAAUAUUGCGCAAUGGGCGGAAGCCUGACGCAGCGACGCCGCGUGAGGGAUGACGGCCUUCGGGUUGUAAACCUCUUUCAGCAGGGAAGAAGCGCGAGUGACGGUACCUGCAGAAGAAGCACCGGCUAACUACGUGCCAGCAGCCGCGGUAAUACGUAGGGUGCAAGCGUUGUCCGGAAUUAUUGGGCGUAAAGAGCUCGUAGGCGGCUUGUCACGUCGGAUGUGAAAGCCCGGGGCUCAACCCCGGGCCUGCAUUCGAUACGGGCAGGCUGGAGUUCGGCAGGGGAGACUGGAAUUCCUGGUGUAGCGGUGAAAUGCGCAGAUAUCAGGAGGAACACCGGUGGCGAAGGCGGGUCUCUGGGCCGAUACUGACGCUGAGGAGCGAAAGCGUGGGGAGCGAACAGG